CUUUAAGGUCAGAAAACUUGAUUUAAAUACUGUUUAUAGACUAAUGUUUUGUGAUGUCAAGGUUUUCUAUGUAUUUCUAUGCAGCAUGCGAUAUUUAGUUACACCAGCAGAGGGUGCUUGGUGCCGUUGGUAUCAGUAUCUGGUGCCGUAGAAGAAGUCUGCCAGUACGUGAUAUGAAAAGAAGCAUAUGCAUCAAGCUCCAGUUGUAACGCAGUGUCAAUUGUUUUGCAGCAUGGGUCAGGAGGUCGAGUGGGACGCCCAGUAACCAUGUUCCAGUCCUGCCUCCUUCACCUCCCUCCCAGCCCUUGGGCAGGAUGCAUAAUCCACACUUCCCCCCUGGAGAAGCCCACACAUGGAAGAUUUAAGGACCCAGUUGCUGGCGUAGGACUCGGAUCUGAUCCUCAGCACGAGGCAGACUCUUUUGAUGGCAGCUCAUCAAAAAAGAACACGGAAGGUAGAAGAGAAGUGAAAGUAGACUUGGAAAGUGGAGAAACACAGAUCAAAAUUGGCUGCAUGGCCUCCUCAGAGGCUGUAACCAUCAUCAAGGACUAAUAUGUGCAUCUUUAAAAAUGUGAAAUUAUGCUUAAGAGUGAGAAGUUGCCCCUUCUUUUUGUUACUGUUCCAUUUCAUUUUUGCAUGUAGUCUUUAUAGUACUGUAUUUUGUGUAUUUGUAUGUGUUCUGUAUAUACAGUGUGAGUGUCUUUAGUCUUAAUUUAAAUCUAGGUUCCGACUUACACUACUACUACUUACAUCACUGUCUUAGGAACAAAACAUGUGCACAGACCGAGGAAUGGUAUGUCUUUUGAAACCUUAAAGAUUUAAUAUAUUUGUAAAAUGUGGACCCAGCAUUGAUCCGUGGGGCGUUCCACAAAAUUGCAUGCAAGCAUUAUAAUGUACGCUCUGUCACAAGAGAUGGGAUUUAUGGCUUCUUGAAGGGAGUCGGAUCUUGAGAAGCUGUUCCUUUCAAAGAGCCGUGAAAAAGACUGGUUUGUUAUUAUGGUUAUAGUUAACAAUUACUGGUAGAAAUUAUACUUGGAUUAGAAUACAUCAAAUGUAUACCAGUAUUGACUACAAUUAGAAUAUUGUUGUUUUCACUGUAAACAAUACAUAAGUUGGUGCCAUAUCACCAUGGGUUGACAGUGACAUCAUUAUUUGGAGAUUUUUAUUUUAUUGUAGCACAAGAGCAUUUUAACAAUACAGAAAUAAUACCUUAUAAUGAAAUGUCAUAUGUACAUAAAAAGUACAAAAACAACUCGAAAACAAUUAGGACAUAGUAAAACAGUGAAUACAAAAUUGUAUUAACCUACCUGGUGUGUGUAUGCUUGAACUACUUUACAUAACCUCGUUAGAACAAUAAACCAGAAAAUGUUACAACUCGGCUUCGUUUUCCAAUCUCCUGUCGGGUGGCACACGCAUCUGUGUGUACAUAAAAAUCGGUUCGCCAACGAAUGGCUCGAUAAUGUGACUCGGUUCUCAUUGUUUACUGAAAGGAGCCGGUCAAAAGAUUUGAUUUGUUCGUUAGCAAUUAUAAAUAAUUGUAUCAAUUGUAAGAUAUAAAAAUACUCCAUGAUGUCAUGGGUGAUUUCCUAAUUUAUUUUAAUUAGUGCCAAGUGCAAAAAUGUUAAAAGGCAUGCUUUAUGUUUUUAUUGGCUGAGGUGGGUAUAAUAAUGGGUUACAUCAUAUUUAGCUUUGAGGCUGAUCUGGAUCACCAUCUGGAUUCAGGGCUUUUUUUUAAUACUAUUUCUCUUUCUCUCUCUCUCUCUCUCUCUCUCUCUCUCUCUCUCUCUCUCUCUCUCUCUCUCUCUCUCUCUCUCUCUCUCUCACACACAUACACACAAACGCAUGCACACGCACGCACGCACAGACACAGGUUACUU
This is a long non-coding RNA of Entelurus aequoreus (snake pipefish), 1877 nucleotides long. RefSeq lists it as uncharacterized. The record is from RefSeq and is a predicted model, not a curated record. NCBI's taxonomy places the organism in Eukaryota, Metazoa, Chordata, Actinopteri, Syngnathiformes, Syngnathidae. The transcript has 3 exons.